This 165-nucleotide ribosomal RNA is filed under the name uncultured bacterium. RNAcentral describes it as "partial 16S rRNA". It matches the Rfam family "Bacterial small subunit ribosomal RNA", at positions 355 to 511 of the family's 1533-position model. The record is from RNAcentral.
UAGGGAAUCUUCCACAAUGGACGAAAGUACUGAUGGAGCAACGCCGCGUGAGUGAAGAAGGGUUUCGGCUCGUAAAACUCUGUUGUUAAAGAAGAACAUAUCUGAGAGUAACUGUUCAGGUAUUGACGGUAUUUAACCAGAAAGCCACGGCUAACUACGCGCCAG